CGUCGAAUCACCGAGAUGUGUUGCUCGUUUCUCGUUGUGGUCGAAGGUUAUCCUUCACAGUUUUCUUAUUCUGCACUGUUAGUCCCUUUUAAUAACCGAAGAAAGCAAGUGCAUCCACCACCAUCCAUCAGCCUUAGAGAUGGUGUAUGUGUGCGUAUCAGACUGCUUGGCGGUGACACAGUGACACGCUAAUUGCAGUGGACCAGUGGUGGUGGUUGGGUAGUUGGAAAGGCUCAGGUGUGUAGAUGGAAGAAAAAGAAGGAAGACGAAGGAGAAACAAUGGAGGAG
Molecule: long non-coding RNA, 288 nt
Organism: Portunus trituberculatus (swimming crab)
Lineage: Eukaryota; Metazoa; Arthropoda; Malacostraca; Decapoda; Portunidae
Exons: 3
Source: RefSeq, a predicted model, not a curated record